CCGGAAUUACNUGGGCGUAAAGAGCNUCGUAGGUGGUUUGUCGCGUUGUUCGUGAAAUCUCACGGCUUAACUGUGAGCGUGCGGGCGAUACGGGCAGACUAGAGUACUGCAGGGGAGACUGGAAUUCCUGGUGUAGCGGUGGAAUGCGCAGAUAUCAGGAGGAACACCGGUGGCGAAGGCGGGUCUCUGGGCAGUAACUGACGCUGAGGAGCGAAAGCGUGGGGAGCGAACAGGAUUAGAUACCCUGGUAGUCCACGCCGUAAACGGUGGGUACUAGGUGUGGGUUUCCUUCCCUUGGGAUCCGUGCCGUAGCUAACGCAUUAAGUACCCCGCCCUGGGGAGUACGGCCG
This 350-nucleotide ribosomal RNA is filed under the name uncultured Mycobacterium sp. Its description in RNAcentral is "bacterial SSU rRNA". It matches the Rfam family "Bacterial small subunit ribosomal RNA", at positions 545 to 888 of the family's 1533-position model. Lineage: Bacteria; Bacillati; Actinomycetota; Actinomycetes; Mycobacteriales; Mycobacteriaceae. The record is from RNAcentral.